UACGGAGGGAGCUAGCGUUGUUCGGAAUUACUGGGCGUAAAGCGCACGUAGGCGGCCCGGUAAGUCCGCUGUGAAAGUCGGGGGGCUCAACCCUCGAAUGCCGGUGGAUACUGUCGGGCUAGAGUGCGGAAGAGGCGAGUGGAAUUCCUGGUGUAGCGGUGAAAUGCGCAGAUAUCAGGAGGAACACCAAUUGCGAAGGCAGCUCGCUGGGACGUAACUGACGCUGGAGAACGCGAAAGCGUGGGGGAGCAAACAGG
RNAcentral lists this ribosomal RNA (257 nucleotides) under uncultured bacterium. RNAcentral's name for it is "partial 16S ribosomal RNA". It matches the Rfam family "Bacterial small subunit ribosomal RNA", at positions 524 to 776 of the family's 1533-position model. The record is from RNAcentral.